Molecule: ribosomal RNA, 465 nt
Filed under: uncultured Klebsiella sp.
Lineage: Bacteria; Pseudomonadati; Pseudomonadota; Gammaproteobacteria; Enterobacterales; Enterobacteriaceae
Description: bacterial SSU rRNA
Rfam family: Bacterial small subunit ribosomal RNA
Source: RNAcentral
CCUACGGGUGGCUGCAGUGGGGAAUAUUGCACAAUGGGCGCAAGCCUGAUGCAGCCAUGCCGCGUGUGUGAAGAAGGCCUUCGGGUUGUAAAGCACUUUCAGCAGGGAGGAAGGCGUUAAGGUUAAUAACCUUGGCGAUUGACGUUACCCGCAGAAGAAGCACCGGCUAACUCCGUGCCAGCAGCCGCGGUAAUACGGAGGGUGCAAGCGUUAAUCGGAAUUACUGGGCGUAAAGCGCACGCAGGCGGUCUGUCAAGUCGGAUGUGAAAUCCCCGGGCUCAACCUGGGAACUGCAUUCGAAACUGGCAGGCUAGAGUCUUGUAGAGGGGGGUAGAAUUCCAGGUGUAGCGGUGAAAUGCGUAGAGAUCUGGAGGAAUACCGGUGGCGAAGGCGGCCCCCUGGACAAAGACUGACGCUCAGGUGCGAAAGCGUGGGGAGCAAACAGGAUUAGAUACCCCGGUAGUC